CAGUAGCCACGGGAAUACGAAGGGUGCAAGCGUUAAUCGGAAUUACUGGGCGUAAAGCGUGCGUAGGCGGUGAGUUAAGUCUGCUGUGAAAUCCCCGGGCUCAACCUGGGAAUGGCAGUGGAUACUGGCUCGCUAGAGUGUGUCAGAGGAUGGUGGAAUUCCCGGUGUAGCGGUGAAAUGCGUAGAGAUCUGGAGGAAUACCGAUGGCGAAGGCAGCCAUCUGGCCUAAUACUGACGCUGAGGUACGAAAGCAUGGGGAGCAAACAGGAUUAGAUACCCGCGUAGUCCCUGUCUCUUAUAA
This 301-nucleotide ribosomal RNA is filed under the name uncultured bacterium. Its description in RNAcentral is "partial 16S ribosomal RNA". It matches the Rfam family "Bacterial small subunit ribosomal RNA", at positions 509 to 809 of the family's 1533-position model. The record is from RNAcentral.